AUUGAACGCUGGCGGCAGGCCUAACACAUGCAAGUCGAACGGUAGCACAGAGAGCUUGCUCUCGGGUGACGAGUGGCGGACGGGUGAGUAACGUCUGGGAAACUGCCCGAUGGAGGGGGAUAACUACUGGAAACGGUAGCUAAUACCGCAUAACGUCGCAAGACCAAAGUGGGGGACCUUCGGGCCUCACACCAUCGGAUGUGCCCAGAUGGGAUUAGCUAGUAGGUGGGGUAAUGGCUCACCUAGGCGACGAUCCCUAGCUGGUCUGAGAGGAUGACCAGCCGCACUGGAACUGAGACACGGUCCAGACGCCUACGGGAGGCAGCAGUGGGGAAUAUUGCACAAUGGGCGCAAGCCUGAUGCAGCCAUGCCGCGUGUAUGAAGAAGGCCUUCGGGUUGUAAAGUACUUUCAGCGGGGAGGAAGGCGGUGAAGUUAAUAACUUCACCGAUUGACGUUACCCGCAGAAGAAGCACCGGCUAACUCCGUGCCAGCCGCCGCAGUAA
Molecule: ribosomal RNA, 504 nt
Filed under: uncultured bacterium
Lineage: Bacteria
Description: partial 16S ribosomal RNA
Rfam family: Bacterial small subunit ribosomal RNA
Source: RNAcentral